This 498-nucleotide ribosomal RNA is filed under the name uncultured bacterium. RNAcentral describes it as "partial 16S ribosomal RNA". It matches the Rfam family "Bacterial small subunit ribosomal RNA", at positions 27 to 507 of the family's 1533-position model. The record is from RNAcentral.
GGAUGAACGCUGGCGGCGUGCCUAAUACAUGCAAGUCGAGCGAACAGAUGAGGAGCUUGCUCCUCUGACGUUAGCGGCGGACGGGUGAGUAACACGUGGAUAACCUACCUAUAAGACUGGGAUAACUUCGGGAAACCGGAGCUAAUACCGGAUAAUAUAUUGAACCGCAUGGUUCAAUAGUGAAAGACGGUUUUGCUGUCACUUAUAGAUGGAUCCGCGCCGCAUUAGCUAGUUGGUAAGGUAACGGCUUACCAAGGCAACGAUGCGUAGCCGACCUGAGAGGGUGAUCGGCCACACUGGAACUGAGACACGGUCCAGACCCCUACGGGAGGCAGCAGUAGGGAAUCUUCCGCAAUGGGCGAAAGCCUGACGGAGCAACGCCGCGUGAGUGAUGAAGGUCUUCGGAUCGUAAAACUCUGUUAUUAGGGAAGAACAAAUGUGUAAGUAACUAUGCACGUCUUGACGGUACCUAAUCAGAAAGCCACGGCUAACUACGUG